CCUACGGGGGGCAGCAGUGAGGAAUAUUGGUCAAUGGACGCAAGUCUGAACCAGCCAUGCCGCGUGCAGGAAGACGGCUCUAUGAGUUGUAAACUGCUUUUGUACGAGGGUAAACGCAGAUACGCGUAUCUUUCUGAAAGUAUCGUACGAAUAAGGAUCGGCUAACUCCGUGCCAGCAGCCGCGGUAAUACGGAGGAUUCAAGCGUUAUCCGGAUUUAUUGGGUUUAAAGGGUGCGUAGGCGGUCGGAUAAGUUAGAGGUGAAAUCCCGAGGCUCAACUUCGGAAUUGCCUUUGAUACUGUUCGGCUAGAGAGAAGGAGCGGUAGGCGGAAUGUAUGGUGUAGCGGUGAAAUGCUUAGAGAUCAUACAGAACACCGAUUGCGAAGGCAGCUUACCAGGCUACUUCUGACGUUGAGGCACGAAAGCGUGGGGAGCAAACAGGAUUAGAUACCCGUGUAGUC
This 460-nucleotide ribosomal RNA is filed under the name uncultured bacterium. RNAcentral's name for it is "partial 16S ribosomal RNA". It matches the Rfam family "Bacterial small subunit ribosomal RNA", at positions 338 to 795 of the family's 1533-position model. The record is from RNAcentral.